UUAGAGUGUGCUAGCUUGCUAGAAUUUAGUAUACAGGUGCUGCACGGCUGUCGUCAGCUCGUGUCGUGAGAUGUGGGUUAAGUCCCGCAACGAGCGCAACCUCGUGUUUAGUUGCUAACAGUCCGGCUGAGAACUCUAAACAGACUGCCUACGCAAGUAGGAGGAAGGUGAGGACGACGUCAAGUCAUCAUGGCCCUUACGGCCAGGGCUACACACGUGCUACAAUGGGGUAUACAAAGAGCAGCGAUACGGUGACGUGGAGCAAAUCUAGAAAAUGCCUCUCAGUUCGGAUUGUAGUCUGCAACUCGACUACAUGAAGUUGGAAUCGCUAGUAAUCGUAGAUCAGCAAUGCUACGGUGAAUACGUUCCCGGGUCUU
This 377-nucleotide ribosomal RNA is filed under the name uncultured Arcobacter sp. RNAcentral describes it as "bacterial SSU rRNA". It matches the Rfam family "Bacterial small subunit ribosomal RNA", at positions 1002 to 1382 of the family's 1533-position model. Lineage: Bacteria; Pseudomonadati; Campylobacterota; Epsilonproteobacteria; Campylobacterales; Arcobacteraceae. The record is from RNAcentral.